Molecule: long non-coding RNA, 2936 nt
Organism: Zingiber officinale
Lineage: Eukaryota; Viridiplantae; Streptophyta; Magnoliopsida; Zingiberales; Zingiberaceae
Exons: 2
Source: RefSeq, a predicted model, not a curated record
AACCAAGCCCAAACCGCCGCCGCAUUUGGAAUCGGAGCAUCUUCUAACCCUAGUCGCUUCUCUGCUAUUUAUUUCCUCCUCCUCUUCAAAUAGAAGCGACGCCGAGUAAAUCGCCAAUGGUCGUCGUCCGAACCAGUUACUAUGAACGCAGCAGCAUUGCUACUGCCUUGCGUUCCGUCGUAAAGUUGCAGAGUCGGCGAGAUGCUGUUCGACGAAUACCAGGGAGAUGAAGAAAUCAGAUUUCUCUUCCUCCGAUGCCAUCAUCAAGAACUGGAACGUAAGUGGUAAUGCUGGCAGCCUGCUCUUUUUUUUCUGUUUUAUGUUGGAUCUGAAGCAAAAUAGUUUCUUUUGUGCCGCGCAAAGGCCCGGUGGUGUUGCAGUACAAGCACGAGUCGGAUACUGUAAGUGUUCCCGGAAAAGACGAGAUUUUGAAUUAGUAAAUGGCGUCUUUCUACGUUUAUCCAUUUGUUAAAAGUCUAGUCUUUCUAGCUAAGAACUUGGAUAAACAUUGUCGUAGAACUUCACCUCUGUUAGUAACACCAUGUGCCAUUCUCACCAUUUGGACCUGAUUAGACCGUGCUUGAAGAUGAUGGCAAUGUCAAAGCAUAUGUGCUAUCUUGAUCAUUAGAUCUCUCUCUUCACUUUGCUCUUCGUGAUUAGUAGUAGUUGGGCAUCCCAGUGUCUGUCUGUCCCGUUUGUUCUCUGUGAUUCAGUGAUUUGGGGCUUAUGUUGGUGGGUUAUCCAGUAACGGCUCAUAUUCAUAUGGUUUUGAAGUGGAUAUUGUUGCUGCUUCUGCCAAUUCAACACAGAUGUCACCAGAGGGUUGUGAGGUUUGUACUAAAGAUAGAGUUUUUCUAUAUUUUCGUUUCCAAAAAUCAACAUUUGACAAUCGGUAGAUUUUGGUACUAAAGACAGUUUUAUAGAUUGCAGUCAGCAAUAUGCCAUCUCAAUUUUGGCUGCUUUCCCAAAACUGUUUCAAAGGAGUUUUACAAUAUGAAGGAGAUGUUAUGAUUAUUCUUCAAUGUAACCUUGCUCAAAUUGAUGACCGAAUAAAAAUACCAUGAUAGUAGCAUGUGUGUGAAUAUGUAUAUGUUGGCAUGACUAUUCUUAAGAGAACAAAUGUUUGUUUUGGGACUUCUGCCUUGAUAAUCAAAAUCUUUCUUUGUAUCAGUCUUUGCUUAAUUGAUAUGCAACAAUCUUCCUUCUGUUUAUUCAUCAUGUGGGACUACAUAGAUAUCAGCACACUUGGCAUGUUUCCUUAUUAUUUUCUGUAUGGGUAUCAGUUUUAACAUAGGUAGCAAAACUCUAACCUUGUCUGGAAUCUUCAUCUCCUUUUUUUUGAACUAUCCUGCUCUCAAUCUUCUGUGGUUUUUAAAAUUAUUAUUAUAUCACUAUCAUAUUCAAAUUCUAUUCUCUUGUUGGUUUUCUGUUUUUGGGUUAUCUUGUAUGGAACUCAGAGAUGAAUCAUAGGCCAAGAGAAUUUCAAGAACAGAAGGGCAACCUAUCGAGAUGGACCAUUUUUUAAUUGGUUUUGUCUUUUCACAGUUGCCUAAAUUAGUAUUGGCUACUUAUCUGACUGGAAACUAAUGGUAUUUUCCAAUUUCCAGUUAAUUAUUUGUAAUAUUCGUAGUCAACAUUGAGUAUUCAAAAAAAAAAAAAAAGAAUUGUCAAAGCUGAAGGGCUGACAUUUUGAUUUUUUUUUCUCCAAAUCAUGUACAUGUUAUGGAGUCUUUUAUUUUGUUCCAAAAGAGCAUCUUGUUUUCUCAUGCCUGCAAUCCACAUCUCCUUUUUGUUGCAAUUUGCAACCACUAGAUACAAGUAUCACUACUCUCUUGUUGGUCUUCUGUUUUGGGGUUAUCAUGUCAUCGAACUGUGAGAUGAAAGUAUGAAACAUUGGUUGAGAGAAAUUACAAGAACAAAAGGGCAACCUAUCGAGAUGGACCACUCUUUUAUUGGUUUUGUCUUUUCACAGUUGCCUAAACUAGUAUUGGCUACUUAUCUGACUGGAAAAUAAUGUGUUUUUUCAUUUUCUAGUUAACUAUUUGUAAAACUUGUAGUCAACAUUGUCUACUCCAAACAAAUGUCAAAUCUGAUAGUUGGCAUUUAGAUUUUCCUUCAAAUCAUGUACAUGUUAUGGAGUCCUUUAUUUUGUUCCAAAAUAACAUCUUGUUUCUAUGCACUUUUCCCUGAUGUACGCUAAUGUUCCACUUCAGUUUUGAAACAAAAUGCCACUAGUUGUCUUUUCUUUUCCUUCAAUCCUGUCUCGACAUUUUCAAAAUGUGUUCUAACUAACUUUGACCCUUAACUGACUAUUUGCAAUCUGCUUGGUGGGGUUCCAAGUAUUUUGAGCUCUUCUGUUAUGUUUUUUUUGGUGUGCUGCAGUGUUAUGGAUUACCAUGGUUCUUAUGAGAUCUUCUUACUACAAGUGGUCACCUUAUGCUAUUUGCUUUUACUAAAUAAUGGAUGCACUCGUCCUAUUUUUUGUGCUUAUUUCCCACAAUCAGCCUUGAACCUUCAAUCCUCUCUUUUUGCUUACUAUAGUCAAAUCUUAUUUGAUUGGCACUCCUUUCUGUAUUGUAAUUUGCCACCAAAUCUGUCUUCGGGAUUACUGUGCCAUUGAAUUGUUCCUGUGAAACAUAGGUGGAGAGAAGGUGCAAGAAUAUUGAGUUGUGACAAUUAUAUCAAGUCUGGUGGAUGAUCUUGCUUCAAACGUCAUGUGUGGAAGAUUAAGAACAGAAACAUGACUUGUGGCAGCUUGCAGCCAAAAUUGAGGGAGCUUGAUGAAGGAGCCAUUGAGGCUCAUUUUUAGACUUCAUUUUCUCAAUUAUUUCAGUUUUCUUUUUUAAGAUUGCUUUAUGUUUCAUUGUUCAAUAAUUUUUUGGAAUUAAACAUUGUUCAUUAAUUUCGAUCAAUUAUUUACAGUUUUUCUUUUUAGC